Microtus ochrogaster (prairie vole) is the source of this 4431-nucleotide long non-coding RNA. RefSeq lists it as uncharacterized. The transcript is spliced from 4 exons. NCBI's taxonomy places the organism in Eukaryota, Metazoa, Chordata, Mammalia, Rodentia, Cricetidae. The record is from RefSeq and is a predicted model, not a curated record.
UGCUGGGACCAGAACUUGGGUCUUCUGCAAGAUCACGACCCCCAGAAAGCCGGUCGAAUGGACGGACCCUGAAAGAGGAGUGAUUCUUUCCUGACCAGUGUUGUUAACGGAAGGGCUUGACUCAUAAGCCAAUCACACCCUCGAGAGGGUGGAGUUUUCAUCGGUGCUUCCAUCUCCAACCAAUCAGAGGGAAGGCAGAAGCGCAGUCCUCCAAUGGGAGUUGAGGAGCCCGCGGUAGUGAUGGAGCCCCGCUACCCUGCCAUCGCUCCGCUGAGCGUCGCGUGAAGCAUCCGUGAUCUGCGAGAUCUUGCUGUGGGCCAGGUAUCCAUUCUCCUGCGGCAGCUGUUAGAACCUACGGAGGCUAGAGGUUUUGUGGAAGCCAGAAGAAGGCGUUGGAUCCCCCUGGAGCUGGAGCUACAGGCAAUUGUGAACCAAGCAAGGUUGCUGGAAACUGAAGUUGGGGUCCUGUGGAAGAACAGGCUGAACUGUUAACUGCUGAGCCAUCUCUCCAGCCCCAAAGAACAUCCACCAUUGUUAGAUCCAUCACCCUGCAUCUAGCUUGGACAUCAUUCAAAGGGCUCAUCGGGAGUAUCUGAUAUUCAGGAAGACAGUUUCAGGGUUUCUGCCUGGAGCUGCACCCUCCAGAAGCUCCUGCUUGGCUUCCCAGCACCCAAUCCCAUCCCAACCAGUUACGACUUGGGCAGUGAUUGGUGUUUCUUGGAAACUGGAACACGGACUCCUCCGACUGCACUCCAAGCCUUUUAUCCUCAGUGAGCAGAAGACCACAGAAGCUGGCUGCUGAAGAGGCUGUCCAAAUGGCAGUGCGCCUCACUGGCCUUGCUUAGUGCCUUUACCACAGAACAGUUGCUGAGUGCUGAAUCUGUGCCCAGCACCCGCAGCCACUACAGAGAAUUCGUCAGGCCCCACGUCACUAAGGGCCACUCCAGAGGAGGCUAGAAAGAGGCGAUCUUCAUAGGCUCCGCACUGCCUAGAGUCCUACACCUUAUAGUACUACUGAUAAUUUAUUUUUGUCUCUUGUGGAUGUCGUUUUGGAUAUAGUUUCUUAGGAAUUGGUCCAGUUUGUCUGUGUUUCUAAAUUCUCUGGCCUAAAGUUCCAUUCUGAAAUUCUCUGCUACAUAUAAUCUGUAACUAUGUCGCCUUUUUCAUUGCUAAUCCUGGUCAUUUGUGCCUUCUCCCUCUUUUUCCUGAUCAAUCUCAGCAGAGGUUUGUCUCUUUUGUUAGUCUUUACAAAGAACCAACUUUUGGCUUUGCUGCUCCUCUCUAUUGUGUCUUUGUUUUCUAUUUCUUUAAUUUCUGCGCUUAUCUUCUUUGAUCUCCUUCCUUCCACAUUUUUUGGAUUUAUUCUACUGUUGUUUUUCUGACUUCUUAAAUUGUAUAUUGAGCUCAUUCAUUUUCAGUAUUAUUUUCCUUUUUCUGUUUGCUUGUUUUUGAUGUUUGUUUUUCUUUGAGACAGGAUCUCACUCUGUAGCCUAAGCUAACCUCAAAUUCGUGAUAAUCUCUUCCCUAGCCUCCCCAGUGCAGGGAUUACAGGCAUGAGGCACUGAGCCUAGCUUUCAGCCUUUCUUGUUUUCUAAUUUAUAUAUUUAAAAGCUACAAAUUUCCCGCUAAUGCUACUUUCUUACAUAAUGGUAUAUUGUAGUAAUUUCAUUGCUGUUCAGUUCCAGGAGCUUCAGCAUAUCUAUUAUCAUUGCUUAUUUGACUCGUGAAUUAAACAGAAGUAUGUUUAAGUUCCCAGAUGUUUGGGGGAUUCUUAAGUUUGUUCUACUAUAGAAAUCUGUCUUAAUUAUGUUCAGAUGAUGUGGUUUAUGUGAUAACUGAAAUUUAUUGAGACUUGUUCUAUUGCUUAGUACAUGAUUGAUAAUUAUUAAUGUUUCCUAUGUGCUCUAUAAGAAUGUGUGUCCUCUAAUUGAAUAUACAGAUCUACAUGUGUCUAUUAGCAACGAUCUUAUUCAAGUUGUAUUUAUGUAAGCUGAUUGUUUUUGUUAUGAACUACCAGUAAUUUUGAAAUUCUGACACUGGAAUUACCUGUUUUCUUCUUAGAGUUUCCUUUUUUAACAUAAAUUAAGAAUUGUUAUAUUUCUGGUAAAUGUGUAAUAUCCUCUCUAUUCCUGAUAAUAGAGGAAUUCUGCUAGAUUAUCUUGUAUUGAUAUAACAGCACAAGCUUUUCUUCUUGUUAGAGUUUGUGUGGCAUAAUUUUCUAUCUUUUUACUUUUGAGAAUUUUUUACACCUUUGUGUUUUAAUUUAUAUUUCUUGAAAACAGCAUAUGGCUGAACAUUUUUUAAAAAUCUAAUCUAAGGCUGGGUGUGGUGGCGCACACCUUUAAUCCCAGCACUUGGGAGGCUGAGGCAGGUGGAUCUCUGUGCAUUUGAGGCCAGCCUGGUCUACAUAGUGAGUUUCAGGCCAGCCAGGGCUAUACAGUGAGACCCUGUCUUGAAAAAAGCUUAACUAAUGACCUCUGCCUUUAAAAGUUGGCAAGUUUGGUUUACAUUUGCUACAGGAUGUUUGGACAUGUUUCUAGUAUCACCUUGUUGUUUUGGUUUUCCACUACUUUUUGUAUGUUCAGCUUUCUCUUUUCUCACCUGCUUUUGUAGUUCCUUCUAAUUUUUUAGUUCCUUCUAGGAUGUGUUUUUCUUUUCUUUCGUUUCCUUGAAAUUCUAGCAUGUGUGUUUAACUUGCAAAGCUUAAACAAUAUUUUCAGUGUAUCUUGGAGAGUGUGAGAAGCUUAGAAAUUAGCAGUUUUAGUCAUUCCUCUCCUGACCAUUUGAUUUUGUUUGCAACUAUGUAGAUAUAUUCCUUGUUUUCUUUGUAAUCUCAUAAUUAUAUAUUAUCAGUAUUAUUUUCAGUCUUAUUUGCUCUGAUUUACAUGCAUACGUUCUUGCAUCUAAGACCCCAUUAAUGGCAUCAUUUUCUCUCAUUGUGAACAAGUGUUUAUCCUUUUAGUUUAGAUUUCUUGAUAUUAAACUCGCCAGUCUUUGUUGUGUGAAAAAGCUUUAUCUUUAUCUUUAGAAGAGUUUGCUCACCUUUAAAAUCCACGUAUCUCUUCUCUUUGGCUGUGAGAUGUAUGCCUUGUUGCCUUUCAAAAGCGCCAUGAGUCUAACUGUGAUUAGGUUUCAUUUGUUUUCUGAGCAGGGUGUGCAGGGAGUGCUGUGGUUUCAUUAUAACAUGUUUCGACUUGUUUCUUCAUUUAUUCUGCUUUGAAAACGUGUUUAAUGGCUUAGUAGAAAUGUGUGUUUUUUAUAAUAUCUGGAAAAUUCUCAACUGUUAGAUUCUUUCUGGAUUUUUAUUUUCUCAGAAUCCAAUUACUCAUAUUGUGUGCCUCUUAAUUCUGUUCUUCAUAACUCAUAAUAACCCUUUGAUUAUUUUCUAACUCCUUAUACUUCAUUUGGGGAAAUUUCAUUGGGUAUAUGCUUUAGUUUAUUCUCUUUUCAGUUAUUUUUAAUCUGCCUUCUCCUUUUUUCCAUUGAGUUUUUCUAUUUAAAAAUUUGUCUUUUUCUUUGUAAAAGGUUCGUUUACUUUCUCAUCUGUCUAGCUAUCCCCAAUUAAGUCUCUUGUGUUGCUCAUCUUUGUGAUUACAUCUAUCUUUAAGUAUAAUUUUUUUGUUGUCAGACUGCUUUUUUUGCAUGAGUAUGACAUUAUAAAUAUUGCUCCCAUCUCAAGUGCACAGCGCACUGAUUACAUCGUCUUGUUGCACACCUUCUUGCUUUCCUAAAAGCCAGUGUUCUAGUAAUUUGUUUUCUUUUCCUGGGGUUGUAGGACCCGUUACUAAUUCUUGGCAAUUCUACAAGAAUUAAAAAUUCUUCUUAGAAAGUGUUUGUGAAAUCCAAAUCAGAUCAUGCCUCUGUUCUGCUUAGACUCCUCCCCUGGCACCCAGUUGCCUCAGUACGAAAGCCAGAGUCAUCUCAUCUCCGUGGCCCAGACCUUCCUCCCAGUCUUGUUCAGUCCCUCCCCGGUCUCAUUGCUCUCAGUCUCACUCUGCUCUGGCUAUACUGGCCUUUCUCCUAUUCCUCAAGCAUGCUAGGGGCCUUCCAAUCAGGACCUUUGUAUUUGCUGUUGUCACUACCUGGAACACCCUUCCGUCCAAAUAAUGUGAUGACUUGAUCAAGUAUUUCCAUUAUGUUCAAAUGUUACUUCCCUUCGAGAAGUAUUUCCUAACCACCAUAUAUCAAAUGGCCCUAUCACUCUCCACGUUGUGUCUUAUCCUAUUUUCUGUUAUAUCCUCUACAAAGCACUGAUCACUACUUGAUAUAUUUUAUAUUUAUUUGUUGUAGUCAGUGUUUGUGUCUACCAAAUAGACGGUAAGCUCCUCAAAGCAGAGAUUUCUGGUGUGGUUUACUGCUGUAUCCCCAGUGUCAAGAACAGUGUAUAAUAAUAUUCAGUGAACAUUAAAUAAAAUAUUUGUGGAAUAAAAU